ACGGGGCGUGGCCUCGGCAGAAGGGGCGGGGCGGCACGGGGCAGGGACGCCUUGCGCCCCUAGCGGCGGGUGCGUUUCAGCCCUCACUUUGUGGCCUGUGGAUUCUCCCCGUCCGAGGUUGUGGCGGCGCGGGGCAGUGUCACAGGUAAAUCGGGGUAGAACUGAAACGUGAAGCCUGGGGAGCCGAAGCCUGCAGGGCCUGGGGCAACGGGGAAGCAGGGCCCAACCCCCGGCCCGAGGAAGGACUGGCCCGCCCCACGCGUGCCCCUCCUGCGGGCUCUAGUCAGUUCUGCCCCACUGUUCCCGCAGGGGAUGUUGCUCCGUCCACAGGGGUCCAUCAGCCCCGGACCUGUCCUGGACUCCCACAUCCCUCCCCUGCUUCUGCCAGCUGCUGACCUCACUCCUUUCUCUGUCCUCAAGUCCCCCGACAUGCAGCUCUGUCCGCGCCGCGAGCUGCACACUCUGGAAGCGACCGGCUGGAGACAGUUGCCCAAAUCAAAGUUCUCCCCCACAAGACGAAGCCACCUGGGGCCACUGUGGGGUAGGAGCCCUGACGACCCUGGAAGUAGCUGGCCAUGUGCUAGGAGGUGAGCGGGGCUACGGAGGCCCCAAACUGGUGCAGUCCGUGACCCUGGGACUUAUUUACUUGACCUUCACAGUGUCUAACAAUUUUAAACUUAACUUACACCAUCUGAAAGUCAGCUGGUUUUGUGUUACAGUUCAGUGGGUGGCUUGCUUCAAAACUUGGGGCGAUCUGGUGACAGUGGGCCUGUGCUCCCACAUAUCAGCAAUCUGCCGCAGCUAAGCAGUGGCUGCCUUCUUUGCCAGGCUCCACAGCUUGCUGCUCCGGCCUGCAGAACCAGCUCCCGUACCGUUCAGCACGGGGCUGGAGCCGUUGUUCCUUACAGUAGAUAAAGGUCAGCUCUCUCUUUACACCUGUGUCUCUGUCAAAAGUGGGGAAACGAAAGAUGGAUCCAGAGCGUCACACGUUUCAAGAAAAAUGGGAGCAAGCAUAUUUCUUUGUGGAAGUAAAGAAUCGCCCUGUGUGUUUAACAUGUAACCAAACUUUGUGUCAGAAGAAUACAACCUAUGGCGACAAACCACAAAGGAAUUUUGACUGGUAAACAGAAAAAAUGGGUGAUGAAAAGCUUAAUGAGCUAAAAAAAGGUCUAAACUUCCUGCACCAUUUAUCAUAGAAUGCGAAUGUGAAAUGCGGUUAUGUAAUGAGUGGAAAAAUUGCCCGGGCAUCACCACCCUGUACAGAUGGGGAGUUUAUAAAAGACUGGGGAGUGCAGCAGAAACCGUGUGUCCUGAGCAGAAACAAGCAUUUGCAAACACAAGUCUGACUGGAAACACUGUUGCUCAACAGGUAAAAGAUAUGGCUGAAAACUUACAGGAGAACGUUCGAGAAAAAGUGAAGUCCUUCGUCACCUUUUCUAUUGCAGCUGGUGAGAGCACAUACGUAAACAGCAUGAGCCACUUGAGUGUAUUUUUCCGUGGUGUUGAUGGGAAUUUUGACGUCACUGAAGAGCUUUUGGACAUGGUACCCAUGACAAACCCAACGUCAGAAAGUGACUUAGGUUUGCAGUUGAGAAGAGUUUAACAGGGACUGGUCAAAAUUAGUAAGUGUGACCACAGAAGGUGCCCCUGCAGUGGUCUGUGAUGAUGCUGGACUUGUUGCAAAACUUAAA
This is a long non-coding RNA of Phyllostomus discolor (pale spear-nosed bat), 1691 nucleotides long. RefSeq lists it as uncharacterized. NCBI's taxonomy places the organism in Eukaryota, Metazoa, Chordata, Mammalia, Chiroptera, Phyllostomidae. The record is from RefSeq and is a predicted model, not a curated record. The transcript has 2 exons.